RNAcentral lists this unclassified non-coding RNA (358 nucleotides) under soil metagenome. RNAcentral's name for it is "partial contains 5.8S ribosomal RNA, internal transcribed spacer 2, and large subunit ribosomal RNA". The stretch from base 1 to 120 matches the Rfam family "5.8S ribosomal RNA", at positions 35 to 154 of the family's 154-position model. The record is from RNAcentral.
GAUGAAGAACGUAGCGAAAUGCGAUAAGUAAUGUGAAUUGCAGAAUUCAGUGAAUCAUCGAAUCUUUGAACGCACAUUGCGCCCGUCAGUAUUCUGGCGGGCAUGCCUGUUCGAGCGUCAUUACGCCCCUCAAGUCCCCUGUGGACUUGGUGUUGGGGAUCGGCGAGGCUGGUUUUCCAGCACAGCCGUCCCUUAAAUUAAUUGGCGGUCUCGCCGUGGCCCUCCUCUGCGCAGUAGUAAAACACUCGCAGCAGGAGCCCGGCGCGGUCCACUGCCGUAAAACCCCCCAACUUUUUAUAGUUGACCUCGAAUCAGGUAGGACUACCCGCUGAACUUAAGCAUAUCAAUAAGCGGAGGA